This 457-nucleotide ribosomal RNA is filed under the name uncultured bacterium. RNAcentral's name for it is "bacterial SSU rRNA". It matches the Rfam family "Bacterial small subunit ribosomal RNA", at positions 1 to 507 of the family's 1533-position model. The record is from RNAcentral.
AGUAGUUUGAUCCUGGCUCAGGACGAACGCUGGCGGUGUGCUUCACACAUGCAAGUCGAACGAGGUAGCAAUACCUAGUGGCGGACGGGUGAGUAACGCGUGGGAAUCUGCCUUUAGAUGGGGGAUAACGGGCCGAAAGGUCCGCUAAUACCGCAUAUGCCGCAAGGUGAAAGGAGUAAUCCGUCUAAAGAUGAGCCCGCGUCCGAUUAGCUAGUUGGUAGAGUAAGAGCCUACCAAGGCGACGAUCGGUAGCUGGUCUGAGAGGAUGAUCAGCCACAAUGGGACUGAGACACGGCCCAUACUCCUACGGGAGGCAGCAGUGGGGAAUUUUACGCAAUGGGGGAAACCCUGACGUAGCGACACCGCGUGAGCGAAGAAGCCCUUUGGGGUGUAAAGCUCUGUCAGCUGGAACGAAACAAUGACGGUACCAGCAGAGGAAGCAUCGGCUAACUACGUG